Molecule: ribosomal RNA, 469 nt
Filed under: uncultured bacterium
Lineage: Bacteria
Description: partial 16S ribosomal RNA
Rfam family: Bacterial small subunit ribosomal RNA
Source: RNAcentral
GGACGAACGCUGGCGGCGUGCUUAACCCAUGCAAGUCGAACGGAAAGGCCCUGCUUUUGUGGGGUGCUCGAGUGGCGAACGGGUGAGUAACACGUGAGUAACCUGCCCUUGACUUUGGGAUAACUUCAGGAAACUGGGGCUAAUACCGGAUAGGAGCUCCUGCUGCAUGGUGGGGGUUGGAAAGUUUCGGCGGUUGGGGAUGGACUCGCGGCUUAUCAGCUUGUUGGUGGGGUAGUGGCUUACCAAGGCUUUGACGGGUAGCCGGCCUGAGAGAGUGACCGGCCACAUUGGGACUGAGAUACGGCCCAGACUCCUACGGGAGGCAGCAGUGGGGAAUAUUGCACAAUGGGCGGAAGCCUGAUGCAGCAACGCCGCGUGCGGGAUGACGGCCUUCGGGUUGUAAACCGCUUUCGCCUGUGACGAAGCGUGAGUGACGGUAAUGGGUAAAGAAGCACCGGCUAACUACGUG